RNAcentral lists this ribosomal RNA (358 nucleotides) under uncultured bacterium. RNAcentral describes it as "bacterial SSU rRNA". It matches the Rfam family "Bacterial small subunit ribosomal RNA", at positions 117 to 477 of the family's 1533-position model. The record is from RNAcentral.
UUGGGAACAUGCCUUGAGGUGGGGGACAACAGUUGGAAACGACUGCUAAUACCGCAUAAUGUCUACGGACCAAAGGGGGCUUCGGCUCUCGCCUUUAGAUUGGCCCAAGUGGGAUUAGCUAGUUGGUGAGGUAAUGGCUCACCAAGGCGACGAUCCCUAGCUGGUUUGAGAGGAUGAUCAGCCACACUGGGACUGAGACACGGCCCAGACUCCUACGGGAGGCAGCAGUGGGGAAUAUUGCACAAUGGGCGCAAGCCUGAUGCAGCCAUGCCGCGUGUGUGAAGAAGGCCUUCGGGUUGUAAAGCACUUUCAGUCAGGAGGAAAGGUUAGUAGUUAAUACCUGCUAGCUGUGACGUUA